Molecule: ribosomal RNA, 229 nt
Filed under: uncultured bacterium
Lineage: Bacteria
Description: partial 16S ribosomal RNA
Rfam family: Bacterial small subunit ribosomal RNA
Source: RNAcentral
GAUCAUGGCUCAGGAUGAACGCUAGCUACAGGCUUAACACAUGCAAGUCGAGGGGCAGCAUGGUCUUAGCUUGCUAAGGCCGAUGGCGACCGGCGCACGGGUGAGUAACGCGUAUCCAACCUGCCCAUCACUUGGGAAUAGCCUUGCGAAAGUAAGACUAAUACCCAAUGAUAUCCCACGAAGGCAUCCGAAUGGGAUUAAAGAUUUAUCGGUGAUGGAUGGGGAUGCG